This 431-nucleotide ribosomal RNA is filed under the name uncultured bacterium. RNAcentral describes it as "partial 16S ribosomal RNA". It matches the Rfam family "Bacterial small subunit ribosomal RNA", at positions 29 to 507 of the family's 1533-position model. The record is from RNAcentral.
AACGAACGCUGGCGGCAGGCUUAACACAUGCAAGUCGAACGCCCCGCAAGGGGAGUGGCAGACGGGUGAGUAACGCGUGGGAACAUACCCUUUCCUGCGGAAUAGCUCCGGGAUACUGGAAUUAAUACCGCAUACGCCCUACGGGGGAAAGAUUUAUCGGGGAAGGAUUGGCCCGCGUUGGAUUAGCUAGUUGGUGGGGUAAAGGCCUACCAAGGCGACGAUCCAUAGCUGGUCUGAGAGGAUGAUCAGCCACAUUGGGACUGAGACACGGCCCAAACUCCUACGGGAGGCAGCAGUGGGGAAUAUUGGACAAUGGGCGCAAGCCUGAUCCAGCCAUGCCGCGUGAGUGAUGAAGGCGUUAGGGUUGUAAAGCUCUUUCACCGAUGAAGAUAAUGACGGUAGUCGGAGAAGAAGCCCCGGCUAACUUCGUG